UGGAGCAAGUCACAAAAGCAACCAGA
Molecule: non-coding RNA, 26 nt
Filed under: Rattus norvegicus (Norway rat)
Lineage: Eukaryota; Metazoa; Chordata; Mammalia; Rodentia; Muridae
Source: RNAcentral